Molecule: non-coding RNA, 71 nt
Organism: Podarcis lilfordi (Lilford's wall lizard)
Lineage: Eukaryota; Metazoa; Chordata; Lepidosauria; Squamata; Lacertidae
Source: the annotation of a GenBank genome assembly
GGGGUAGUUCAGUCGGUAGAGCAUGAGACCCUGAAUCUCAGGGACAUGGGUUUGAGCCCCAUGUUGGGCCA